GCCUCUGUAGCUCAGUUGGUUAGAGCACUAGUGCACCAGAAUCGCAGGGCCGUAGGUUCAAUUCCUAUCAGAGGAC
Molecule: non-coding RNA, 76 nt
Organism: Paramuricea clavata
Lineage: Eukaryota; Metazoa; Cnidaria; Anthozoa; Malacalcyonacea; Plexauridae
Source: the annotation of a GenBank genome assembly